RNAcentral lists this ribosomal RNA (497 nucleotides) under uncultured bacterium. RNAcentral describes it as "partial 16S ribosomal RNA". It matches the Rfam family "Bacterial small subunit ribosomal RNA", at positions 28 to 507 of the family's 1533-position model. The record is from RNAcentral.
GAUGAACGCUGGCGGCGUGCCUAAUACAUGCAAGUCGAGCGAACGGACGAGAAGCUUGCUUCUCUGAUGUUAGCGGCGGACGGGUGAGUAACACGUGGAUAACCUACCUAUAAGACUGGGAUAACUUCGGGAAACCGGAGCUAAUACCGGAUAAUAUUUUGAACCGCAUGGUUCAAAAGUGAAAGACGGUCUUGCUGUCACUUAUAGAUGGAUCCGCGCUGCAUUAGCUAGUUGGUAAGGUAACGGCGUACCAAGGCAACGAUGCAUAGCCGACCUGAGAGGGUGGUCGGCCACACUGGAACGGAGACACGGCCCAGACCCCUACGGGAGGCAGCAGUAGGGAAUCUUCCGCGAUGGGCGAAAGCCUUACGGAGCAACGCCGCGUGAGGGAUGAAGGUCUUCGGAUCGUAAAACUCUGUUAUUAGGGAAGAACAUAUGUGUAAGUAACUGUGCACAUCUUGACGGUACCUAAUCAGAAAGCCACGGCUAACUACGUG